RNAcentral lists this ribosomal RNA (497 nucleotides) under uncultured bacterium. RNAcentral describes it as "partial 16S ribosomal RNA". It matches the Rfam family "Bacterial small subunit ribosomal RNA", at positions 28 to 507 of the family's 1533-position model. The record is from RNAcentral.
GAUGAACGCUGGCGGCGUGCCUAAUACAUGCAAGUCGAGCGAACGGACGAGAAGCUUGCUUCUCUGAUGUUAGCGGCGGACGGGUGAGUAACACGUGGAUAACCUACCUAUAAGACUGGGAUAACUUCGGGAAACCGGAGCUAAUACCGGAUAAUAUUUUGAACCGCAUGGUUCAAUAGUGAAAGACGGUUUUGCUGUCACUUAUAGAUGGAUCCGCGCUGCAUUAGCUAGUUGGUAAGGUAACGGCUUACCAAGGCAACGAUGCGUAGCCGACCUGAGAGGGUGGACGGCCCCAAUGGAAACGAGACACCGUCCAGAAUCCUUAGGGGGGGAACCAGAGGGAAUCCUGCCGAAAGGGGGAAAGCCCGAACGAGGCAACGCCGGGGGGUGGAGGAAGGUUUCGGAUUCUAAAACCUUGUUUAUUGGGGAAAAACAAAGUGUAAGGUAACAUGGAACACUUGAACGUACCCUAUCCAGAAAGCCCCGGCAACUACGUG